UUUGUUACUUCAAACCAAUCGGACUUCGGUCUGACAUCAAGUGAUAUUGAACAAUUUAGCUGAUCGCACGGUCUAAGAACCGGCGACAUAUCCUUCAAAUGUCUGCCUUAUCAACUUUCGAUGGUAGAUUAUGCGCCUACCAUGGUUGUAACGGGUAACGGAGAAUCAGGGUUUGAUUCCGGAGAGGGAGCCUGAGAAACGGCUACCACAUCCAAGGAAGGCAGCAGGCACGCAAAUUACCCACUCCCGGCACGGGGAGGUAGUGACGAAAAAUAACAAGCUGGUCUCAAUGAGUUCCAGCAUUGUAAUGGGAACAAUUUAAAUCUUUUAUCGAGGAUCUAUUGGAGGGCAAGUCUGGUGCCAGCAGCCGCGGUAAUUCCAGCUCCAAUAGCGUAUAUUAGAGUUGUUGCGGUUAAAAAGCUCGUAGUUGGAUCUAGGAUUAGGGCUACGGUCGUUCAGCUUGGACGUACUGUAUGCCCGACUCCUUUUCUCUAGUAUUCGAUUGUUGCUCUUAAAUGAGUGACUUUAGUUGCUGGAACUUUUACCUUGAAAAAAUUGAAGUGCUCAAAGCAGGUU
Molecule: ribosomal RNA, 576 nt
Filed under: uncultured eukaryote
Lineage: Eukaryota
Description: SSU rRNA
Rfam family: Eukaryotic small subunit ribosomal RNA
Source: RNAcentral